This is an RNA transcript of Nerophis ophidion (straightnose pipefish), 2133 nucleotides long. It is a transcript of the gene named ATCAY kinesin light chain interacting caytaxin a, with no coding region annotated. Lineage: Eukaryota; Metazoa; Chordata; Actinopteri; Syngnathiformes; Syngnathidae. The transcript has 13 exons. The record is from RefSeq and is a predicted model, not a curated record.
CAGGGAACACCAGCGACGUGGAGAACCACUGCAGGAUCAUCACACCGCUUAUUUUGCCCGAGUCACUACAGGAUUAAGACGCUCCCACGGAAGGAUCGGGAUGCUUCAGGCGGGGUUGGGUGAACUAGGACUAUUUGGCAGGCAAGAAGAUACAUGAAGAUAGUCCAAAGGUGGACAAAGACGUACAGGAGAGGAGACAAGGAGGGAGCUGAGGGCGGGGGUCCUCCAGCACAGAGGUGCCCCCUGUCCUCCAGCACCUGCUGCUGGCUCACGUCCGACAUCGAAGACACGGCCGGCCCGUGUUGUUGCAUGUCAAUUAAGGCCCCAGAAGACCCAGACUUAUGCGCUUGUGUCCGGGUGCACACCAAUCUUCGCUCCUGGGAGUGAGAAGAAAGGAGGUCAGAGCAUUUCCAAGGGGAUCACGGACAUCUCAUAGGGAUGGGCACCACGGAAGCCACUCUGAGAAUGGAGAACAUGGAAGUCAAGGACGAGUGGCAGGAUGAAGACUUCCCCCGACUUCUACCAGAGGAAGGAGACAUGGACGCCUCGUGCAGCCUCACGGACAACAGAGGCUCACCUCCCGCCUCCUUAAACCUGAGCCCGCCCGGAGGAGGCGCCGGGGUGUCGUCCUCGCACCGUAAAAGGCGUACGCUGGUUGCCCCGGAGAUGAACCUGUCCCUGGAUAAAAGCGAAGGUUCUCUGCUGUCCGACGACUACCUGGACACGCCCGAUGACCUGGACAUUAACGUGGACGACAUGGACACGCCGGAUGAGACCGACUCCUUGGAGUUCAUCACCAAUGGCAACGACCUGGAAUGGGAAGAUGAUGCCCCCGUGGCCUCCGCCAAAGCUGGUCCCGCCGGCCGUUCAGCGGACUUGGACGAGGAGGCAAAUGCCAACAACACCCGCCUUUGGAGGACGGUGAUCAUUGGGGAACAGGAGCACCGGAUCGACAUGCAGAUCAUCCGACCGUACCAGAGAGUCAUCACACACGGAGGUUAUUUUGGUGAGGGCCUCAACGCCAUCAUCGUGUUCUCCGCCUGCUACCUGCCCGACAGCAGCAUCCCAGACUACCACUACAUCAUGGAAAACCUCUUCCUGUACGUGGUGAGCAGUCUGGAGAUGCUGGUGGCCGAGGACUACCUGAUUAUCUACAUGAACGGAGCCACGCCCAGGAGUAAGAUGCCCGGGAUUAGCUGGCUCAAGAAAUGCUACCAGAUGAUCGACAGAAGACUGAGGAAGAACUUGAAGUCGUUGGUCAUUGCCCACCCCACUUGGUUCAUACGCACUGUCCUGGCAAUAUCACGGCCCUUCAUCAGUGUGAAGUUCAUGAACAAGAUCCAAUACGUCCACAGCCUGGACGAGCUGGCCCAGAUGGUCCCCAUGGAGCACGUCCAUGUCCCGGAGUGUGUUGUGCAGUUUGACGAUGAGAGGAUUCAAGCCCGGAAGGAAAGGAUAGAGCAAGAGCAACAGUCAGUCCCACAAGAACCAAUCAAGAAAAAAACGCAAAGUGGCAACUCCGCGCAGCAAGUGCGCCGCUAAGCGUGACACUUGACUCCUCCAUGAAUUCCAUCAGAGACACUGGCGGUCCCCACACCCCUCCGACUUUCAGGGCCCCAUGAAUCAUGUCAAGCUCAAGAGAGGCAACUUCUCCACAUGUGCUUCCAUGUUUGGUCACCAUCCAGAUGCUCAGUAGCAAAUUCCCUGUACUCAACUCUCAUGCACUCUCAUGCACUUCACUGUACGCUCAUUGUAGCGUGGUAGCAUUUGCAAAGGAGCUUCUUUCGGACUCUCGCCAGUGAACUCUUUGGAAGACUCCUACUUUGGACGUGGAGAGUCCACAACCAAUAUUUGCAAGUUGGCGGAGGAGAGAGGCUUUAUGCACAUUUGUGUAAAUAGUGGCGUCUUAUAUCUGUGCGUAGGAUCAGGCAUUUUCCAGCCGUCUAUUUUGCUGAGUUGCUAAAUGAGAAGGUCCAUCUGCACUAACUGGAAUCACUCGUCUGUAGAAGCUGCUUGGAAAAAAGGGAGAAAUGAAUGGAAAAAGGAAUGACUCAAUGCAUCCCCAAAUGUUGUAUUUAAAAGCAUAAUUAAUGUUUAAUAUGGAUGGAUGGAUGAAAUAUUUUGUUUACUGUC